UAUUUAGGUAGCGCCUCGUGAACUCAUCUCCGGGGGUAGAGCACUGUUUCGGCUAGGGGGCCAUCCCGGCUUACCAACCCGAUGCAAACUGCGAAUACCGGAGAAUGUUAUCACGGGAGACACACGGCGGGUGCUAACGUCCGUCGUGAAGAGGGAAACAACCCAGACCGCCAGCUAAGGUCCCAAAGUCAUGGUUAAGUGGGAAACGAUGUGGGAAGGCCCAGACAGCCAGGAUGUUGGCUUAGAAGCAGCCAUCAUUUAAAGAAAGCGUAAUAGCUCACUGGUCGAGUCGGCCUGCGCGGAAGAUGUAACGGGGCUAAACCAUGCACCGAAGCUGCGGCAGCGACGCUUAUGCGUUGUUGGGUAGGGGAGCGUUCUGUAAGCCUGCGAAGGUGUGCUGUGAGGCAUGCUGGAGGUAUCAGAAGUGCGAAUGCUGACAUAAGUAACGAUAAAGCGGGUGAAAAGCCCGCUCGCCGGAAGACCAAGGGUUCCUGUCCAACGUUAAUCGGGGCAGGGUGAGUCGACCCCUAAGGCGAGGCCGAAAGG
RNAcentral lists this ribosomal RNA (546 nucleotides) under Clostridioides difficile. RNAcentral's name for it is "partial 23S ribosomal RNA". It matches the Rfam family "Bacterial large subunit ribosomal RNA", at positions 867 to 1409 of the family's 2925-position model. The record is from RNAcentral. Lineage: Bacteria; Bacillati; Bacillota; Clostridia; Peptostreptococcales; Peptostreptococcaceae.